Molecule: long non-coding RNA, 1501 nt
Organism: Raphanus sativus (radish)
Lineage: Eukaryota; Viridiplantae; Streptophyta; Magnoliopsida; Brassicales; Brassicaceae
Exons: 5
Source: RefSeq, a predicted model, not a curated record
CUUCUUCGUCAAAGUCCAAGAAUAGUAUUUAUUUUCAUCAUCGAGCUCCUGAUAUACACCAACAAUGGAGUUUUGGGAUGUCGAGUGAUACGAAUCGUCAUGUAUAAUAUACAUGAAGGUUUGAUUGCAUCGUUUCACGUUCUUCUCCUCUUACACGUUACUGAAUUCAUUGAGUUAUAGCAUUUAACCAGCUUCUUAACUCCAUGGACUUAUCUCUCUUCUAGGCGUUGGAUCUCAAUCUAUAAAAAGUUUAAUGCUUCUUAUUCUCAUCAUUCCCAAAGUUCAUCGAUAUAAUUAAGAUGCCCAUUGAAGAUCCUUCAAUCAAUCCUCCCAGUACGGCUCCCUUUGGAACUUGGAAGGUCCGAAUGUUAAGAGGAGUUGGGCUCACCAAUGUUGGACAAGACGACAAUGAAGAAGAAGUGUUUCCACUACCACACACCUCACCAGAUCUAACGGCUUGAAUCGUAUUCUCUCUUUUUCUCUACUCAAUUGUUUUCUCGAGCUCUAUCUUUUUGUUCUCUUAUGGUUUUGUUCGCAGAGCUUUCAAUGAAUGACAACAUCCAAACAGAGGAUGCAUUUUAGCAGAGAAUUGGGUUUAGCUCCAAGACAGAUAAGUUUUGGUUUCAGAACCGAAGAACACAGAAAAAGGCACAACACUAUAGAGUUCAUAAUUGUGCAUUCAAGAAGCUUUCAAACACCAUAUUCCCCACCUAUGGUGAUGCUCCUGUUCAUGAAGACUCUUACUUUGAUGAACAGAAGCUUCGAAUAAAAAAUGCUUAGAGAAAAGCUCGAGAGGGUUUCAGCAUUGCAGCUAAAUUCAUGGGGAGGCCACUUUCUCAUCCCCCACCACUACUAAACCAGAUGCAGAUUUCUCCAUUAGAGUUACUCCACAGUGUUCCUUUGCUUGAUUUUGAUCUUCUCCAAGGAAGUUGUUCUUCAAUGGCUGUCUCAAGUUUACUGUCUUUACCAAACGUGGUUAUCUCAGACAUGGAUAAGUUUCUGAUGACCAACAUUGCUGUGAGUCUGUGCCCGCUAUGGAAGAAUUGCUUAGGCUUACACAAAAACAUAUGAGCCUAUGUGGAUCAAAACAGAUGGAUGCCUAGACGUUGUCAGUCUAAAAAGCUAUGAGAAUGCAUUCCCAAGAUUAAGUAGUCAUGGAGGAAAGAACCACAACCUUUGAGUGGAAGCAACCAGAUCUCCUAGCAUUUCUUCACUAAUGCAGUGACAGUGUGACACUUGUGUAGAUGCUCAUGGACUCUUUUUCAGGCCAAAGCUGCAGAGCCUUUUCCUUCAGUCGUUGCAGCAUCUAAAACUCUUGCAGUGGUUUCAUCUGGAUUGCGUGGAGAUCACGGAGAUUCCUUACAUUUUGACACAAUAAUGCUACAGAAAUCUAUGAACAUAAAAUAUACUUUUUUUUUUGGGCAACGAACAUAAAAUAUACUCCGACUCUUGCUUUUCAUGUUACCACUUCAUUAAGAAGCUAUCCGGCGAUUUGAUACUU